Molecule: small nuclear RNA, 107 nt
Organism: Otolemur garnettii (small-eared galago)
Lineage: Eukaryota; Metazoa; Chordata; Mammalia; Primates; Galagidae
Source: Ensembl
AUGCUUGCUUCGACAGCACAUACACCAGGUUUGGAACGAUCCAGAGAAGAUUAUCAUGGCCCCUGUGCAAGGAUGACCUGUAGCUUUGUGAAGAUUCCAUACUUUUA